GACGAACGCUGGCGGCGUGCUUAACACAUGCAAGUCGAACGGAAAGGCCCUGCUUUUGUGGGGUGCUCGAGUGGCGAAAGGGUGAGUAACACGUGAGUAACCUGCCCUUGACUUUGGGAUAACUUCAGGAAACUGGGGCUAAUACCGGAUAGGAGCUCCUGCUGCAUGGUGGGGGUUGGAAAGUUUCGGCGGUUGGGGAUGGACUCGCGGCUUAUCAGCUUGUUGGUGGGGUAGUGGCUUACCAAGGCUUUGACGGGUAGCCGGCCUGAGAGGGUGACCGGCCACAUUGGGACUGAGAUACGGCCCAGACUCCUACGGGAGGCAGCAGUGGGGAAUAUUGCACAAUGGGCGGAAGCCUGAUGCAGCAACGCCGCGUGCGGGAUGACGGCCUUCGGGUUGUAAACCGCUUUCGCCUGUGACGAAGCGCGAGUGACGGUAAUGGGUAAAGAAGCACCGGCUAACUACGUG
This 468-nucleotide ribosomal RNA is filed under the name uncultured bacterium. RNAcentral describes it as "partial 16S ribosomal RNA". It matches the Rfam family "Bacterial small subunit ribosomal RNA", at positions 28 to 507 of the family's 1533-position model. The record is from RNAcentral.